GACGAACCGUGCGAACGUUGUUCGGAAUCACUGGGCUUAAAGGGCGCGUAGGCGGACGACCAAGUCGGGGGUGAAAUCUUUCGGCUCAACCGGAAAAUAGCCUUCGAUACUGGCCGUCUGGAGGGAGGUAGGGGCGUGUGGAACUUCCGGUGGAGCGGUGAAAUGCGUUGAUAUCGGAAGGAACUCCGGUGGCGAAAGCGACACGCUGGAUCUCAUCUGACGCUGAGGCGCGAAAGCCAGGGGAGCGAACGGG
RNAcentral lists this ribosomal RNA (253 nucleotides) under uncultured bacterium. RNAcentral's name for it is "partial 16S ribosomal RNA". It matches the Rfam family "Bacterial small subunit ribosomal RNA", at positions 524 to 776 of the family's 1533-position model. The record is from RNAcentral.